GGGAAGGGAACAACUCAGGAAUCAGGAUCAUAUGUGUUGUAGAAGCAAGUUACCAGGUGCUCUUUUUUGAUUUGCACCGUGCACUGUACCCCUGCAGUUGUUCACCACGAAUCGCCCUCCCAUGUUACGAAGCAAAACAGAGAGAUACUUCAACAUCUUCGGUACGGUAGAACCUCGGGUUGUUGUUGGUUUUCACCACGCGAAUCAUGGAGCUUUUUAAUUCGCCACACACCUUAGCUAUGACACUGUCUCAGGUUCUGGACCAACUCUGAUGUAAAGUUUUUUCCAAAGUUAACACAGGUUAACUUCUUUUGCCUUUUUUCUUUUCAGGAAAGUGUUUUUAAAUUGUUAUAUGAUUGUACUAUGCUUUAAAAUUGGAAGCAUGCCGAAUGUCAUAUAUGGCUUUGCUGGGUGCAUUUUUUGCUUUUCAUAGUGAUGAAAAACAAUAGCUAACAUAAUAAUACCUAACAAGGAUAGUUGGG
Molecule: long non-coding RNA, 482 nt
Filed under: Helianthus annuus (common sunflower)
Lineage: Eukaryota; Viridiplantae; Streptophyta; Magnoliopsida; Asterales; Asteraceae
Source: RNAcentral